Molecule: transfer RNA, 69 nt
Filed under: Lophonectes gallus (crested flounder)
Lineage: Eukaryota; Metazoa; Chordata; Actinopteri; Pleuronectiformes; Bothidae
Description: tRNA-Met
Source: RNAcentral
AGUAAGAUAAGCUAAGCAAGCUCUUGGGCCCAUGCCCCAAAUAUGCAGGUGAGACCCCUGCUUUUACUA